RNAcentral lists this ribosomal RNA (253 nucleotides) under uncultured bacterium. Its description in RNAcentral is "partial 16S ribosomal RNA". It matches the Rfam family "Bacterial small subunit ribosomal RNA", at positions 524 to 776 of the family's 1533-position model. The record is from RNAcentral.
UACGGAGGGUGCUAGCGUUGUUCGGAAUUACUGGGCGUAAAGGGCGCGUAGGCGGCCUGGUAAGUAGGGGGUGAAAUCCUGCGGCUUAACCGCAGGGCUGCCUUCUAAACUGUCAGGCUCGAGCACGGUAGAGGCAGAUGGAAUUCCCGGUGUAGCGGUGGAAUGCGUAGAGAUCGGGAAGAACAUCAGUGGCGAAGGCGGUCUGCUGGGCCGUUGCUGACGCUGAGGCGCGACAGCGUGGGGAGCAAACAGG